CUGCUGCCUUCCGUAGGAGUUUGGUCCGUGUCUCAGUACCAAUGUGGGGGACCUUCCUCUCAGAACCCCUAUCCAUCGUCGGUUUGGUGGGCCGUUACCCCGCCAACUGCCUAAUGGAACGCAUGCCUAUCUAUCAGCGAUGAAUCUUUAGCAAAUAUCCCCAUGCGGGGCCCCUGCUUCAUGCGGUAUUAGUCCGACUUUCGCCGGGUUACUCCCCCUCUGAUAGGCAAGUUGCAUACGCGUUACUCACCCGUCGCGCCGGUCCG
RNAcentral lists this ribosomal RNA (266 nucleotides) under uncultured bacterium. RNAcentral's name for it is "partial 16S ribosomal RNA". The record is from RNAcentral.